RNAcentral lists this unclassified non-coding RNA (360 nucleotides) under uncultured Phialocephala. Its description in RNAcentral is "sequence contains ITS2". The stretch from base 1 to 154 matches the Rfam family "5.8S ribosomal RNA". Lineage: Eukaryota; Fungi; Ascomycota; Leotiomycetes; Helotiales. The record is from RNAcentral.
AACUUUUAGCAACGGAUCUCUUGGUUCUGGCAUCGAUGAAGAACGCAGCGAAAUACGAUAAGUAAUGUGAAUUGCAGAAUUCAGUGAAUCAUCGAAUCUUUGAACGCACAUUGCGCCCUGUGGUAUUCCGCAGGGCAUGCCUGUUCGAGCGUCAUUUAACCACUCACGCCUAGCGUGGUAUUGGGGCACGCGGUCUCGCGGCCCUCAAAAUCAGUGGCGGCGCCGGUGGGCUCUAAGCGUAGUACAUACUCCCGCUAUAGAGUUCCCCCGGUGGCUUGCCAGAACCCCCAAUUUUUACAGGUUGACCUCGGAUCAGGUGGGGAUACCCGCUGAACUUAAGCAUAUCAAUAAGCGGAGGCU